GUUCUCAAGUUGGGAGUGGGGGUGCAGGUAGAGAACACAGAGGGAGGAAGGUGGGAUAUUGGGGAUGCGGCAGAUUUGGCAUGUUGGAGCAAGUUCCUUCGUCGAAUUCCAGCUUCCUUCAAGCCCUUUAGGUUCCUAUAGGGAAAACUGGACUGCUCCUCGGAGUGCCCGGGGCUCUGUGAGAGCAGAGACAGCUGAGGAGGUAGGGCGCAUCCCCGUGUGGCUGGAGUGGCCAGAGUGCUGUUUAUACCCUUUCCCAGGCAUGGUAUGGCGGUCUGUGCUGGGCGCGGUCUCUGUAGAAUAUUAUGAAUGAGACCCAAACAACCAAUGAGCAAAACCCCUAGAAAAGUGCUUGCAAAAUUCAUUAGGUGAGAUGAAUCGGAUUACCUCCUUGUCACCCUACUGUGUUAAUCAUACACAGGAUUUUUAAAGUUCUCCAUUAGAGAGAUGAUUCACAGAAGAAUGGAAAGUUUUUCCCUUUGGUUAACUGAAAGGUAUAAUUUCUUAAAAGACAUACAUUUUUGAUUGCAGCAGUUUGCAGGCUGGAUGCUGUCAGGCUAAAACCUAAAGAGUUUGGGAAAUGUUAAUAAAAUACAUGCUUUCAUCCCUCCAAAGCGAAUACUGUUAAAACAUAUAUAUUUUUUUAUUUUAAAGCCACAAGCCAGAUCUUGGGAAUGCAGCCUUCAUUUCGUGCGUCUAAAGAGAACAUGGAAAAAAUAUGUUUUAUGGCAAUAAUAAAGUCCUCCAGACUUGUGGUGGUGUCUCUCCUGCUCUCCUUGCUUUUAGCAGGAGACCCUGUGCAGGGCCCAACAGUCAGCACCUUGGACUGGCCCACACUUUGGUUAUAAAGGUUUCAACAGACCCUUGUCUUAUUCUACUGAAAAAAAUAUAUUUUUGGCAAAAGAAUAUCCUUGUUCAUAAAAGAUCCGAGCUGGGUAUUUGGAGGUAAAGGGUCAUGAUGUCUGCAAGGUACAUAAAAGUGAUUCACCAAGAAGAAUGAUGAUGAUAAUAAUAGCAUGCAUGUAUAAAGAAAGAGAGAGGAGAGAGAAAAGAAAAUACAGCAAAAUCUCAAAAAUAGUGAUCUAUGUAAAGGGCAUAUUGGGGCCCACUAUGUAUUUCUUGCAACUUUUGGUUUGGUUUGGUUCCCAAAUAAAAAAUAAAAGAAUAUUUU
RNAcentral lists this long non-coding RNA (1171 nucleotides) under Marmota monax (woodchuck). Lineage: Eukaryota; Metazoa; Chordata; Mammalia; Rodentia; Sciuridae. The record is from RNAcentral.